This 507-nucleotide ribosomal RNA is filed under the name Somatochlora graeseri. RNAcentral's name for it is "partial 16S ribosomal RNA". It matches the Rfam family "Bacterial large subunit ribosomal RNA", at positions 1829 to 2597 of the family's 2925-position model. The record is from RNAcentral. Lineage: Eukaryota; Metazoa; Arthropoda; Insecta; Odonata; Corduliidae.
GUCCUUUUGAAUGUAUUUAAGGUCUGACCUGCCCAGUGAUUUAUUUUAACGGCCGCGGUAUAUUGACCGUGCAAAGGUAGCAUAAUCAUUAGUCUUUUAAAAGAGGGCUGGAAUGAAAGGUUUGACGAGGUAUUAACUGUCUCAUUUUAUUUGUAUUUAGAAUUUAACUUUUUAGUCAAAAGGCUUAAAUUUAAUUGGAAGACGAGAAGACCCUAUAGAGCUUUAUAAUAAUUAUUUUAAUUAUAAAUAUAUAAUUUUUAACUAAAUAUUUUAUUAUUUUGUUGGGGUGACAGAAAAAUAAAAUUAACUUUUUUAUUUAUAUAACAUUAAUUUAUGGUUAUUUGAUCCAUUAUUAUUGAUUAUUAGAUUAAGUUACCUUAGGGAUAACAGCGUAAUCCCCUUCCAGAGUUCAUAUUUACGAGUGGGGCUUGCGACCUCGAUGUUGGAUUAAGAUAAUAAUUAGGUGUAGCCGCUUAGUUUAUAGGUCUGUUCGACCUUUAAAUUCUU